CUAAGUUUGAUGGCGACCGGCGCACGGGUGAGUAACACGUAUCCAACCUACCGAUGACUCGGGGAUAGCCUUUCGAAAGAAAGAUUAAUACCCGAUGGCAUAGUUCUUCCGCAUGGUGGAACUAUUAAAGAAUUUCGGUCAUCGAUGGGGAUGCGUUCCAUUAGGUUGUUGGCGGGGUAACGGCCCACCAAGCCUUCGAUGGAUAGGGGUUCUGAGAGGAAGGUCCCCCACAUUGGAACUGAGACACGGUCCAAACUCCUACGGGAGGCAGCAUG
RNAcentral lists this ribosomal RNA (275 nucleotides) under uncultured bacterium. RNAcentral's name for it is "partial 16S ribosomal RNA". It matches the Rfam family "Bacterial small subunit ribosomal RNA", at positions 79 to 353 of the family's 1533-position model. The record is from RNAcentral.